This 28-nucleotide non-coding RNA is filed under the name Homo sapiens (human). Lineage: Eukaryota; Metazoa; Chordata; Mammalia; Primates; Hominidae. The record is from RNAcentral.
UAUGCUCUUGGGUGAAGGAAGGCUUGGU